GUGCAAUAAAGGAUAUAAAACUCAACGGAUUCAGUGCUCCUCUGGCCAUUUCUCUUGACUUCUCCCAGAACAAUUGGUUCACCACCGUUCCCUUCCAGAUGUCCUUCGUUGGGCAGCGGGAUGCAGGACGGCAUUUCUAUUCCUGUGAUGUGCAGUGCUCACAGCCUCACGUCACCAGCUGCAAUGAACCCUGUGUUGUCGCCUGUAGUGGCUCCAGAGUCAUUAUAUAUCCCCCUCCUGUUGUUGUGACUUUCCCGGGGCCGAUCCUCAGCACGUGCCCACAGGAGGCAAUAGUGGGAAGUUCUGAAGUUCAAGAGGGGUGUCCAUCAGCCCCUCUAUCAUCCCUGAGAGCAGAAGUCCAGUGCUCAGAGCCACCUGCGGGGAGAUUCAUCCCAAAACACGUGCCUCGGGGUGCAUCACGGUGCUCCUAUGUGUUUUCUUCCCAAUGGAUUCAUCCUUGCAACAGACCCAGCUACAAACGCUACCAACCGUCUGAUAGCGAGACAGAAGAGUGGGCUCCAGACAAGGAGAAGCUGGAAACUGAAAAUAUGGACCCAGCAAAUGAAGACAAAGAGACCGCAGAAGAAUAACAUAGCGACUCCAACCUCAAUGACCAAGUGCAAAAGCCUCAGACUCCUCCUGCCUCUAAAGCAGACUUACCUCUGGCUUCUUUAAACCAUGCUUUACCUUAAGUUCAUUUUUCUUCCCCCUCAGGCACAUUCUCAGGCAGACGAUUUGAGCAAUAAAAUACCCCCCCCUUCAUCCUGAUCUGAUAAACACCACACAGUGGUCAGUUGAGAUGUGACAUUGACUGAUGGCCCUUUCACUGUGAGAGCAAAUGACCCUGGUCUUAGCACUUAAGAGAAUUAGUCACCAGGAAAUUCACUUUUCCUUUUGAUAGAGAUAUAUAUAUGCACGUACACACUCACAUCAUCUGUUUGUGGCUUUCAGCUCACUGCAGAGGAAAAGAAACUCAUCCUCUCUUCAUAUAUAACUUCAUUUGAGAAAAUUAAAAGAAGUAUUUGAUGAAAUGUAUCACUUGCAUACAGAAAUUAAUGCCAUACAAGAGUGGUGGAAUCUGCAUCAAGAACUGUCUUUUGUGCUGUUAUUUAUUCUAUUCCUGUUCUGUCCUUACCUUUCCCAUUAAAAUGAUUCUGCAUUA
Molecule: long non-coding RNA, 1162 nt
Organism: Cuculus canorus (common cuckoo)
Lineage: Eukaryota; Metazoa; Chordata; Aves; Cuculiformes; Cuculidae
Exons: 2
Source: RefSeq, a predicted model, not a curated record